RNAcentral lists this ribosomal RNA (438 nucleotides) under Triticum aestivum (bread wheat). RNAcentral describes it as "partial small subunit ribosomal RNA". Lineage: Eukaryota; Viridiplantae; Streptophyta; Magnoliopsida; Poales; Poaceae. The record is from RNAcentral.
AUGGCCCUCUUUGAGGAAUUCUAUGUUGAGUCCAUUAACCUCCACCGCCUCAACUACGGGAUCAUCUCCUUGAUCCCAAAGGUCCCUGACGCGUCAGACAUCCGGCAGUUUCGCCCAAUCAUGGUGAUCAAUGUGAUAUUCCGUAUCCUGGCAAAGGGGUACACCAAUAGGGUGGCCCAUUUUGCGGACUGCAUCACCCACCCUGAUUAGUCGGCCUUCAUCCAGGGAUGCUACAUUCUAGAUGGGGUUCUGGUCUUCCAUGAAGUGCUACAUGAGAUCCGCUCCAAAAACCAGAACCCCAUCUUCCUGAAAAUCGACUUCCAUAAAGCCUAUGAUACGGUGAGUUGGGUGUUCCUUCGAGAUGUCCUGCUUAAAAGGGGUUUGAUGACCGCCGGUUUACUAGAGUCAUGCAGAUGGUCUCUUCCGGUCAGACCGUAG